This 250-nucleotide signal recognition particle RNA is filed under the name Gemmatimonadota bacterium. RNAcentral describes it as "Gemmatimonadetes bacterium signal recognition particle sRNA large type". The stretch from base 60 to 244 matches the Rfam family "Bacterial large signal recognition particle RNA", at positions 64 to 248 of the family's 256-position model. From Rfam's summary of the family: The signal recognition particle (SRP) is a universally conserved ribonucleoprotein involved in the co-translational targeting of proteins to membranes. Archaeal SRP consists of a 7S RNA and homologues of the eukaryotic SRP19 and SRP54 proteins. The record is from RNAcentral. Lineage: Bacteria; Pseudomonadati; Gemmatimonadota.
GCGCGCUAAUGCGAUCAUCGGUGGAAAUCUACAUUAAAGCGCGAAUGUAGAAUGUCCAAUGAUCAAUGGACAUUGAACAUUGAUCAUUGAGAGUUGAUAUUUCGUCUGCCCCAGGUCCGCAGGCUUUCCGCUCGUGAACCGCGUCAGGCCCCCGCAGGGAGCAGCGCUAAGCGAUGCCGGGAUUCGUUGCGGGGUGCCUGGGGCAUUUCACUUCCAAUAAUCAAUGUCCAAUGUUCAAUGAUCAGUGUUC